RNAcentral lists this microRNA precursor (139 nucleotides) under Chlorocebus sabaeus (green monkey). RNAcentral describes it as "miRNA (ENSCSAG00000025437.1)". The record is from RNAcentral. Lineage: Eukaryota; Metazoa; Chordata; Mammalia; Primates; Cercopithecidae.
AUGGUUCAGAGUAUGUUUAUUAGGUUGGUGCAAAAGUAAUUGCUGUUUUUGCCAUUAAAAGUAAGGGCAAAAACCAUUACUUUUUAGUAUGUAUUAACUCAUCAAUCCUUACAACAGCCCUAUUCAGUAGAUGUCCUCA